GUCAGCGCAUAAUCUGGGGCCCAGAAAUAGAAGCAAAUGGCUCCAUCACUCAAGGCUCCGUGAAUUCCGCUCACAUGGCCCCAGUUCGCUGACCUACUUUCCCUCCCAGCCUGGGAGGAAGGUGCUCCCGCCCUGGGGGCAGCCGGCUCAGGGGCUGGAGUCAGGAGGGGCCGAGGCCCUGUCGCCCUGACUUGCUCUGUGACCUGGCAGGUCACCGAACCUCCCCGGGCCUCUGCUCACCGCCGUCAACUAGGUUAGAGGCUGUGCACCGGGGCUCUGGGAUCAGAGACAGGCCCGAAGUCAGCUGCUCGCGACGUCUGUGACCUUGGCGCAUCCCGCCCUCCGAGCUUCCUUCCUUCCUUUGAGGACAAAGUGGGGAUCAUCCCAGAAGCGACGCAGGGCCAUGCGGAGGAAAAGGGAGAGCGCCAGGCUGCAGGCCGUCACCCGCCAGCCACCGCGGAUGCCUUCCCCCCAGGGCUCCUCGCCGCCCCGUCUCAGCGACCCGGGCGCCCAGACGACGGAAGCCUCCUCGCAGGAAGCACAGCCAGUCUCCAGGCCCCGCCGUGCUGGAAUAUCUCCUUGGGAGAGAACGAGGUGCACCACGACUCACGGUCAAGGAUGUCCACUGCAGCACGCCUCAGGAUGCUGAAAACCCCGCACCGACCCAAUGCCCUUGAGCCGGAGACAGAUGGGACAGACCGCGGCCAAGUCUAGACAAUGGAGCACUCUGGGGCCACUGCGAAUGCUGAAGCCGGUGUGUAUUUAUAGCCACCGAAGGACAGCUAUGGGCCCUAAGUGGAAAAGGCCAACUACCAAACCGGAUUUACAGUAGGAUGCUGCUUUUGUGAAAUAAGAUGUAAAUGUGUUUAUAGGCAGAGAAGAAAGUCUGGAAGGCACCUCACUAACUGUUGACAGUGCUUCUUGCUGGGUGGGAGGAUGAGGGUGAUUUUUGCUGACUUUCUGUAGUUCCGCAUUAAAAUUUUUUUUCUUAC
Long non-coding RNA from Phacochoerus africanus (Common warthog), 992 nucleotides. RefSeq lists it as uncharacterized. The record is from RefSeq and is a predicted model, not a curated record. NCBI's taxonomy places the organism in Eukaryota, Metazoa, Chordata, Mammalia, Artiodactyla, Suidae. The transcript is spliced from 2 exons.